GGUAAUUAGUUGCCCGUGGCUGGGGUAUGCGGUCGGUGGCAGGCGUUGUCCGGAUUUAUUGGGGGGAAAGCGAGAGCAGGCGGUGCCUGAAGUCUGAUGUGAAAGCCCACAGCUCAACCGUGGAAGGUCAUUGGAAACUGGGGAACUUGAGUGCAGAAGAGGAGAGUGGAAUUCCAUGUGUAGCGGUGAAAUGCGUAGAUAUAUGGAGGAACACCAGUGGCGAAGGCGACUCUCUGGUCUGUAACUGACGCUGCGGCUCGAAAGCGUGGGGAGCAAACAGGAUUAGAUACCCCGGUAGUC
This 300-nucleotide ribosomal RNA is filed under the name uncultured Syntrophomonas sp. RNAcentral describes it as "bacterial SSU rRNA". It matches the Rfam family "Bacterial small subunit ribosomal RNA", at positions 496 to 795 of the family's 1533-position model. The record is from RNAcentral. Lineage: Bacteria; Bacillati; Bacillota; Clostridia; Eubacteriales; Syntrophomonadaceae.